Molecule: non-coding RNA, 428 nt
Organism: Labeo rohita (rohu)
Lineage: Eukaryota; Metazoa; Chordata; Actinopteri; Cypriniformes; Cyprinidae
Source: the annotation of a RefSeq genome assembly
AGAACAGAAUCUUCAUCAUCACAUAAGAUUAAACAACAAUGAACAACAUCAUCAUCCUCAUCUGGACUCUCUGUAUAUGUAUUCAAGGUUUCAGUGGGCAGGUGACUGUGACUCAGACUCCCUCUGGAAAGAUGGUUCAGAUUGGUGAAUCUGUCACUAUAAACUGCAAAACAAACACAGUAGUGGAUAAUGGCUGUGUAGGUUCAUAUACUUGCAUGGCCUGGUACCAGCAGAAACCUGGAGAAGCUCCUAAAUGCUUGAUUCAUUCAGCAAAUCAAAAAGAGUCAAACACACCAUCUAGAUUCAGUGGCAGCGGAUCCAGAACUGAUUUCACUCUGACCAUCAGUGGAGUCCAGACUGAAGAUACAGGAGAUUAUUACUGUCAGAGUUACCACUGGAUAAACAGUAAAAGUGUAUUCACACAGUGA